UUUCCGUAGGUGAACCUGCGGAAGGAUCAUUAAUGAGUUGUCAUGGGGUUCGAUGCUGGCAGCCAGUUUUUGGAUGCAUGUGCUUGCCCUAACAAUCAUCUUCUUCCAAACACCUGUGCACAUUUUUGAGGGAGUCUUGAGUUGGUUGCCGCUCUUGGGUGAUUUUCUCACAUUCCCUUAAAUCAUUAUACGCUAUUAACAAUGUUGAACGUGCUCAGUGCCGCAAGGCCAUUAAUAUAAUACAACUUUUAACAACGGAUCUCUUGGCUCUC
RNAcentral lists this unclassified non-coding RNA (272 nucleotides) under plant metagenome. RNAcentral's name for it is "partial contains small subunit ribosomal RNA, internal transcribed spacer 1, and 5.8S ribosomal RNA". The record is from RNAcentral.